GGGCUCACUCCCAGUAGGAGGGGAGGACUCACUCCCGGUAGGAGGUGGGGAGGACUCACUCCCAGGAGGUGGGAGGACUCAAUCCCAGUAGGAGGUGGGGGGGACUCACUCCCAGUAGGAGGGGGGAGGACUCACUCCCAGUAGGAGGGAGGAGGACUCAGUCCCAGUAGAAGGGGGGAGGACUCACUCCCAGCAGGAGGGGGGGGGACUCACCCCCAGUAGGAGGGGGGGGGGUUCCCCCCCAGCAGGGGGUGGGGGGGCUCACUCCCAGGAGGGAGGACUCACUCCCAGUAGGAGGGGGGAGGACUCACUCCCAGUAGGACAGGAGGGCUCACUCCCAGUAGGAGGUGGAGGGGACUCACUCCCAGUAGGAGGGGGG
This is a long non-coding RNA of Herpailurus yagouaroundi (jaguarundi), 379 nucleotides long. RefSeq lists it as uncharacterized. The record is from RefSeq and is a predicted model, not a curated record. NCBI's taxonomy places the organism in Eukaryota, Metazoa, Chordata, Mammalia, Carnivora, Felidae. The transcript has 4 exons.